AGAGUUUGAUUAUGGCUCAGAACGAACGCUGGCGGCGCGUCUUAAGCAUGCAAGUCGAACGGCAAGAGGUAGCAAUACCUCCUAGAGUGGCGGACUGGUGAGUAACACGUGGGUGACAUACCCUUCAGAUGGGGAUAGCUAUUAGAAAUAGUAGAUAAUACCGAAUACGAGCACAGGGGUUAGAGAUCUGUGAGGAAAGGAGCUAAGGCUCCGCUGAAGGAAUGGCCUGCGGCCCAUUAGCUAGUUGGUGAGGUAAGAGCCCACCAAGGCGAUGAUGGGUAUCCGGCCUUAGAGGGUGAACGGACACAUUGGGACUGAGAUACGGCCCAGACUCCUACGGGAGGCAGCAGCUAAGAAUAUUCCGCAAUGGACGAAAGUCUGACGGAGCGACGCCGCGUGGAUGAAGAAGGCCGGAAGGUUGUAAAAUCCUUUUGAAACUGAAGAAUAAGCGUUGUAGGGAAUGACAGCGUGGUGACAGUAGGUUUUGAAUAAGCAACGGCUAAUUACGUGCCAGCCGCCGC
RNAcentral lists this ribosomal RNA (521 nucleotides) under uncultured bacterium. RNAcentral's name for it is "bacterial SSU rRNA". It matches the Rfam family "Bacterial small subunit ribosomal RNA", at positions 8 to 518 of the family's 1533-position model. The record is from RNAcentral.